RNAcentral lists this microRNA precursor (73 nucleotides) under Manduca sexta (tobacco hornworm). RNAcentral describes it as "mir-87 microRNA precursor family". It matches the Rfam family "mir-87 microRNA precursor family". Lineage: Eukaryota; Metazoa; Arthropoda; Insecta; Lepidoptera; Sphingidae. The record is from Rfam by way of RNAcentral.
CACUGAUGGGCCUGAAUCGUUGCUCGAACCUGUAUUAAUGACCAGGUGAGCAAACUUUCAGGUGUGUUAGUGC